UUUAACGAGAGUUUGAUCCUGGCUCAGGAUGAACGCUGGCGGCGUGCUUAACACAUGCAAGUCGAGCGAAGCGCUUUGGAAAGAUUCUUCGGAUGAUUUCCUUUGUGACUGAGCGGCGGACGGGUGAGUAACGCGUGGGUAACCUGCCUCAUACAGGGGGAUAACAGUUAGAAAUGACUGCUAAUACCGCAUAAGACCACGGUACCGCAUGGUACAGUGGUAAAAACUCCGGUGGUAUGAGAUGGACCCGCGUCUGAUUAGGUAGUUGGUGGGGUAACGGCCUACCAAGCCGACGAUCAGUAGCCGACCUGAGAGGGUGACCGGCCACAUUGGGACUGAGACACGGCCCAGACUCCUACGGGAGGCAGCAGUGGGGAAUAUUGCACAAUGGAGGAAACUCUGAUGCAGCGACGCCGCGUGAAGGAUGAAGUAUUUCGGUAUGUAAACUUCUAUCAGCAGGGAAGAAAAUGACGGUACCUGACUAAGAAGCCCCGGCUAACUACGUGCCAGCAGCCGCGGUAAUACGUAGGGGGCAAGCG
This 539-nucleotide ribosomal RNA is filed under the name Dorea longicatena. RNAcentral describes it as "bacterial SSU rRNA". It matches the Rfam family "Bacterial small subunit ribosomal RNA", at positions 1 to 540 of the family's 1533-position model. The record is from RNAcentral. Lineage: Bacteria; Bacillati; Bacillota; Clostridia; Lachnospirales; Lachnospiraceae.